This 19-nucleotide non-coding RNA is filed under the name Mus musculus (house mouse). RNAcentral also lists the same sequence under 1 other name. Lineage: Eukaryota; Metazoa; Chordata; Mammalia; Rodentia; Muridae. The record is from RNAcentral.
UUCCUAUGCAUAUACUUCU